This 253-nucleotide ribosomal RNA is filed under the name uncultured bacterium. Its description in RNAcentral is "partial 16S ribosomal RNA". It matches the Rfam family "Bacterial small subunit ribosomal RNA", at positions 524 to 776 of the family's 1533-position model. The record is from RNAcentral.
GACAGAGGUGCCGAGCGUUAGGCGGAAUCACUGGGCUUAAAGCGUGUGUAGGCGGGUCGUUAAGUGCCUUGUGAAAUCCCACAGCUCACCUGUGGAACUGCUUGGCAUACUGGCGAUCUUGAGCCACUUAGGGGCAACCGGAACAAACGGUGGAGCGGUGAAAUGCGUAGAUAUCAGGAGGAACACCGAUGGCGAAGGCAGGUCUCUGGGCCACUACUGACGCUGAGAAGCGAAAGCAUGGGGAGCGAACAGG